RNAcentral lists this unclassified non-coding RNA (315 nucleotides) under plant metagenome. RNAcentral describes it as "partial contains 5.8S ribosomal RNA, internal transcribed spacer 2, and large subunit ribosomal RNA". The stretch from base 1 to 105 matches the Rfam family "5.8S ribosomal RNA", at positions 50 to 154 of the family's 154-position model. The record is from RNAcentral.
AAAAUGCGAUAAGUAAUGUGAAUUGCAGAAUUCAGUGAAUCAUCGAAUCUUUGAACGCACAUUGCGCCCGCCAGUAUUCUGGCGGGCAUGCCUGUUCGAGCGUCAUUUCAACCCUCAAGCCCCCGGGUUUGGUGUUGGGAAUCGGGCUGCGGUUCUACCGCGUCCCGGCCCCGAAAUCUAGUGGCGGUCUCGCUGCAGCCUCCAUUGCGUAGUAGCUAACACCUCGCAACUGGAACGCGGCGCGGCCAAGCCGUUAAACCCCCAACUUCUGAAUGUUGACCUCGGAUCAGGUAGGAAUACCCGCUGAACUUAAGC